GACGAACGCUGGCGGCGUGCUUAACACAUGCAAGUCGAACGGAAAGGCCCUGCAUUUGUGGGGUGCUCGAGUGGCGAACGGGUGAGUAACACGUGAGUAACCUGCCCUUGACUUUGGGAUAACUUCAGGAAACUGGGGCUAAUACCGGAUAGGAGCUCCUGCUGCAUGGUGGGGGUUGGAAAGUUUCGGCGGUUGGGGAUGGACUCGCGGCUUAUCAGCUUGUUGGUGGGGUAGUGGCUUACCAAGGCUUUGACGGGUAGCCGGCCUGAGAGGGUGACCGGCCACAUUGGGACUGAGAUACGGCCCAUACUCCUACGGGAGGCAGCAGUGGGGAAUAUUGCACAAUGGGCGGAAGCCUGAUGCAGCAACGCCGCGUGCGGGAUGACGGCCUUCGGGUUGUAAACCGCUUUCGCCUGUGACGAAGCGUGAGUGACGGUAAUGGGUAAAGAAGCACCGGCUAACUACGUG
RNAcentral lists this ribosomal RNA (468 nucleotides) under uncultured bacterium. RNAcentral's name for it is "partial 16S ribosomal RNA". It matches the Rfam family "Bacterial small subunit ribosomal RNA", at positions 28 to 507 of the family's 1533-position model. The record is from RNAcentral.